UCCGGGUUGGACCCGGCGGUCCCGCCAGACAUCGUAACUGGCAGCGAGGGUUGCGCUCGUUGCGGGACUUAACCCAACACCUCACGGCACGAGCUGACGACAGCCAUGCAGCAUCUGUGCACGCUCCCUUGCGGGUCCUCAGCCUUUCAGCCUCGUACCACGUGCAUGUCAAGCCCAGGUAAGGUGGGGAUGACGUUAGUGACCUUUGC
Molecule: unclassified non-coding RNA, 209 nt
Filed under: uncultured Chloroflexota bacterium
Lineage: Bacteria; Bacillati; Chloroflexota
Description: uncultured Chloroflexi bacterium contains 16S-23S intergenic spacer region
Source: RNAcentral